AGCGAACGCUGGCGGGAGGAGGAACACAUGCAAGUCGAGCGGGCAUCCUUGUGGUGUCCGCGGCAGACGGGUGAGUAACGCGUGGGAACGUGCCCUUCGGUUCGGAAUAACUCAGGGAAACUUGAGCUAAUACCGGAUACGUGCGAGAGCAGAAAGGUUUAUCUGCCGAAGGAUCGGCCCGCGUCUGAUUCGCUAGUUGGUGAGGUUACGGCUCACCAAGGCGACGAUCAGUAGCUGGUCUGAGAGGAUGAUCAGCCACACUGGGACUGAGACACGGCCCAGACUCCUACGGGAGGCAGCAGUGGGGAAUAUUGGACAAUGGGGGCAACCCUGAUCCAGCCAUGCCGCGUGAGUGAUGACGGCCUUAGGGUUGUAAAGCUCUUUUCUCCGGGACGAUAAUGACGGUACCGGAGGAAUAAGCCCCGGCUAACUUCGUG
Molecule: ribosomal RNA, 437 nt
Filed under: uncultured bacterium
Lineage: Bacteria
Description: partial 16S ribosomal RNA
Rfam family: Bacterial small subunit ribosomal RNA
Source: RNAcentral